GACGAACGCUGGCGGCGUGCUUAACACAUGCGAGUCGAACGGAAAGGCCCUGCUUUUGUGGGGUGCUCGAGUGGCGAACGGGUGAGUAACACGUGAGUAACCUGCCCUUGACUUUGGGAUAACUUCAGGAAACUGGGGCUAAUACCGGAUAGGAGCUCCUGCUGCAUGGUGGGGGUUGGAAAGUUUCGGCGGUUGGGGAUGGACUCGCGGCUUAUCAGCUUGUUGGUGGGGUAGUGGCUUACCAAGGCUUUGACGGGUAGCCGGCCUGAGAGGGUGACCGGCCACAUUGGGACUGAGAUACGGCCCAGACUCCUACGGGAGGCAGCAGUGGGGAAUAUUGCGCAAUGGGCGGAAGCCUGAUGCAGCAACGCCGCGUGCGGGAUGACGGCCUUCGGGUUGUAAACCGCUUUCGCCUGUGACGAAGCGUGAGUGACGGUAAUGGGUAAAGAAGCACCGGCUAACUACGUG
Molecule: ribosomal RNA, 468 nt
Filed under: uncultured bacterium
Lineage: Bacteria
Description: partial 16S ribosomal RNA
Rfam family: Bacterial small subunit ribosomal RNA
Source: RNAcentral